This 1632-nucleotide ribosomal RNA is filed under the name Salmonella enterica. Its description in RNAcentral is "partial 23S ribosomal RNA". It matches the Rfam family "Bacterial large subunit ribosomal RNA", at positions 1190 to 2803 of the family's 2925-position model. Lineage: Bacteria; Pseudomonadati; Pseudomonadota; Gammaproteobacteria; Enterobacterales; Enterobacteriaceae. RNAcentral also lists the same sequence under 2 other names. The record is from RNAcentral.
UGCACCGAAGCUGCGGCAGCGACGCUUAUGCGUUGUUGGGUAGGGGAGCGUUCUGUAAGCCUGCGAAGGUGGCCUGUGAGGGUUGCUGGAGGUAUCAGAAGUGCGAAUGCUGACAUAAGUAACGAUAAAGCGGGUGAAAAGCCCGCUCGCCGGAAGACCAAGGGUUCCUGUCCAACGUUAAUCGGGGCAGGGUGAGUCGACCCCUAAGGCGAGGCCGAAAGGCGUAGUCGAUGGGAAACGGGUUAAUAUUCCCGUACUUGGUGUUACUGCGAAGGGGGGACGGAGAAGGCUAUGUUGGCCGGGCGACGGUUGUCCCGGUUUAAGCGUGUAGGUGUGUGUUCCAGGUAAAUCCGGUUCACUUUAACACUGAGGCGUGACGACGAGGCACUACGGUGCUGAAGCAACAAAUGCCCUGCUUCCAGGAAAAGCCUCUAAGCAUCAGGUAACAUCAAAUCGUACCCCAAACCGACACAGGUGGUCAGGUAGAGAAUACCAAGGCGCUUGAGAGAACUCGGGUGAAGGAACUAGGCAAAAUGGUGCCGUAACUUCGGGAGAAGGCACGCUGACACGUAGGUGAAGUGAUUUACUCAUGGAGCUGAAGUCAGUCGAAGAUACCAGCUGGCUGCAACUGUUUAUUAAAAACACAGCACUGUGCAAACACGAAAGUGGACGUAUACGGUGUGACGCCUGCCCGGUGCCGGAAGGUUAAUUGAUGGGGUCAGCGCAAGCGAAGCUCCUGAUCGAAGCCCCGGUAAACGGCGGCCGUAACUAUAACGGUCCUAAGGUAGCGAAAUUCCUUGUCGGGUAAGUUCCGACCUGCACGAAUGGCGUAAUGAUGGCCAGGCUGUCUCCACCCGAGACUCAGUGAAAUUGAACUCGCUGUGAAGAUGCAGUGUACCCGCGGCAAGACGGAAAGACCCCGUGAACCUUUACUAUAGCUUGACACUGAACAUUGAGCCUUGAUGUGUAGGAUAGGUGGGAGGCUUUGAAGUGUGGACGCCAGUCUGCAUGGAGCCGACCUUGAAAUACCACCCUUUAAUGUUUGAUGUUCUAACGUGGACCCGUUACCCGGGUUGCGGACAGUGUCUGGUGGGUAGUUUGACUGGGGCGGUCUCCUCCUAAAGAGUAACGGAGGAGCACGAAGGUUGGCUAAUCCUGGUCGGACAUCAGGAGGUUAGUGCAAUGGCAUAAGCCAGCUUGACUGCGAGCGUGACGGCGCGAGCAGGUGCGAAAGCAGGUCAUAGUGAUCCGGUGGUUCUGAAUGGAAGGGCCAUCGCUCAACGGAUAAAAGGUACUCCGGGGAUAACAGGCUGAUACCGCCCAAGAGUUCAUAUCGACGGCGGUGUUUGGCACCUCGAUGUCGGCUCAUCACAUCCUGGGGCUGAAGUAGGUCCCAAGGGUAUGGCUGUUCGCCAUUUAAAGUGGUACGCGAGCUGGGUUUAGAACGUCGUGAGACAGUUCGGUCCCUAUCUGCCGUGGGCGCUGGAGAACUGAGGGGGGCUGCUCCUAGUACGAGAGGACCGGAGUGGACGCAUCACUGGUGUUCGGGUUGUCAUGCCAAUGGCACUGCCCGGUAGCUAAAUGCGGAAGAGAUAAGUGCUGAAAGCAUCUAAGCACGAAACUUGCCCCGAG